AUAUUGGACAAUGGGCGCAAGCCUGAUCCAGCCAUGCCGCGUGUGUGAAGAAGGCCUUCGGGUUGUAAAGCACUUUCAGUGGUGAGGAAGGCGUUGUAGUUAAUAGCUGCAACGAUUGACGUUAGCCACAGAAGAAGCACCGGCUAACUCCGUGCCAGCAGCCGCGGUAAUACGGAGGGUGCGAGCGUUAAUCGGAAUUACUGGGCGUAAAGCGCACGUAGGCGGCUUGUUAAGCAAGAUGUGAAAGCCCAGGGCUCAACCUUGGAAUUGCAUUUUGAACUGGCAAGCUAGAGUUUUGAAGAGGGUGGUAGAAUUUCCAGUGUAGCGGUGAAAUGCGUAGAUAUUGGAAGGAAUACCAGUGGCGAAGGCGGCCACCUGGUCAAAAACUGACGCUGAGGAGCGAAAGCGUGGGGAGCAAACAGGAUUAGAUACCCUGGUAGUCCACGCCGUAAACGAUGUCAACUAGUUGUUCGUGUCUUUGAGACGUGAGUAACGCAGCUAACGCACUAAGUUGACCGCCUGGGGAGUACGGCCGCAAGGUUAAAACUCAAAUGAAUUGACGGGGGCCCGCACAAGCGGUGGAGCAUGUGGUUUAAUUCGAUGCAACGCGAAGAACCUUACCAUCCCUUGACAUCCAGAGAAUUUU
This 646-nucleotide ribosomal RNA is filed under the name gamma proteobacterium M6-25C. RNAcentral's name for it is "bacterial SSU rRNA". It matches the Rfam family "Bacterial small subunit ribosomal RNA", at positions 361 to 999 of the family's 1533-position model. The record is from RNAcentral. Lineage: Bacteria; Pseudomonadati; Pseudomonadota; Gammaproteobacteria.